AUCCAACAAAGAAGAAAGAACCAAGUCGAAAGAAAGAAAAGAAAAAGAAAAGAAGAAUUGCUGCGCGGCGAUGUAGAAGUUGAAGUCGACUGAAAAAUGUCUUGGACGAAUUCAGAUCUUAUUUCUUCUCUUCUUC
RNAcentral lists this non-coding RNA (136 nucleotides) under Heterosigma akashiwo. Lineage: Eukaryota; Raphidophyceae; Chattonellales; Chattonellaceae. The record is from RNAcentral.